UACGUAGGGUGCGAGCGUUGCUCGGAAUCACUGGGCGUAAAGGGCGUGUAGGCGGGAAGGAAAGUCAGAUGUGAAAUCCCUGGGCUCAACCCAGGAACUGCAUUUGAAACUCCCUUUCUUGAGUGUCGGAGAGGAAAGCGGAAUUCCUGGUGUAGAGGUGAAAUUCGUAGAUAUCAGGAGGAACACCGGUGGCGAAGGCGGCUUUCUGGACGACAACUGACGCUGAGACGCGAAAGCGUGGGGAGCAAACAGG
This 253-nucleotide ribosomal RNA is filed under the name uncultured bacterium. Its description in RNAcentral is "partial 16S ribosomal RNA". It matches the Rfam family "Bacterial small subunit ribosomal RNA", at positions 524 to 776 of the family's 1533-position model. The record is from RNAcentral.